AACGAACGCUGGCGGCAUGCCUAACACAUGCAAGUCGAACGCGUGGCUUCGGCCACGAGUGGCGCACGGGUGAGUAGCGCGUGGGAACCUGCCCUUCGGUACGGAAUAACCUCGGGAAACUGUGGCCAAUACCGUAUACGCCCCAUGGGGGGAAAGAUUUAUCGCCGAAGGAGGGGCCCGCGUCCGAUUAGGUAGUUGGUGAGGUAACGGCUCACCAAGCCUUCGAUCGGUAGCUGGUCUGAGAGGAUGAUCAGCCACACUGGGACUGAGACACGGCCCAGACUCCUACGGGAGGCAGCAGUGGGGAAUAUUGGACAAUGGGGGAACCCUGAUCCAGCAAUGCCGCGUGAGUGAUGAAGGCCUCGGGUUGUAAAGCUCUUUCGCCUACGACGAUGGUGACGGUAGUAGGAGAAGAAGCCCGGCUAACUUCGUGCCAGCAGCCGCGGUAAU
This 450-nucleotide ribosomal RNA is filed under the name uncultured bacterium. RNAcentral's name for it is "bacterial SSU rRNA". It matches the Rfam family "Bacterial small subunit ribosomal RNA", at positions 29 to 524 of the family's 1533-position model. The record is from RNAcentral.